Small nuclear RNA from Tupaia belangeri (northern tree shrew), 188 nucleotides. Its record names the gene U2. It matches the Rfam family "U2 spliceosomal RNA". Rfam says of the family: U2 is a small nuclear RNA (snRNA) component of the spliceosome (involved in pre-mRNA splicing). NCBI's taxonomy places the organism in Eukaryota, Metazoa, Chordata, Mammalia, Scandentia, Tupaiidae. The record is from Ensembl.
AUUUCUUAUUGGCCUUUUGCUAGCAUCACGUGACAUCUGUCCUCGUCAGUUUAAUAUCUGACAUGUCCUCUAUCUGAGGAGAAUAUAUUAAAUCAAUUUUUGGAGCAGGAAGAUGGAUUGGGAGCUUGCUUCAUCCAACCCAUGCAUUGACCUGGUAUUGCAGAACCUCCAGGAGUGUUGCAUCCCUC